CUGCGUACCUUUUGUAUAAUGGGUCAGCGACUUAUAUUCUGUAGCAAGGUUAACCGAAUAGGGGAGCCGGAGGGAAACCGAGUCUUAAUUGGGCGUUAAGUUGCAGGGUAUAGACCCGAAACCCGGUGAUCUAGCCAUGGGCAGGUUGAAGGUUGGGUAACACUAACUGGAGGACCGAACCGACUAAUGUUGAAAAAUUAGCGGAUGACCUGUGGCUGGGGGUGAAAGGCCAAUCAAACCGGGAGAUAGCUGGUUCUCCCCGAAAGCUAUUUAGGUAGCGCCUCGUGAAUUCAUCUCCGGGGGUAGAGCACUGUUUCGGCUAGGGGGCCAUCCCGGCUUACCAACCCGAUGCAAACUGCGAAUACCGGAGAAUGUUAUCACGGGAGACACACGGCGGGUGCUAACGUCCGUCGUGAAGAGGGAAACAACCCAGACCGCCAGCUAAGGUCCCAAAGUCAUGGUUAAGUGGGAAACGAUGUGGGAAGGCCCAGACAGCCAGGAUGUUGGCUUAGAAGCAGCCAUCAUUUAAAGAAAGCGUAAUAGCUCACUGGUCGAGUCGGCCUGCGCGGAAGAUGUAACGGGGCUAAACCAUGCACCGAAGCUGCGGCAGCGAACGUAUCACCCAAGACAACUUUACGGAGUUGACGAUUGACGGAGCGAAGCGACGUCAAAGCGUUCAUUAAAGUCGAGUUGGCUUAGGGAUACGUUCGUUGGGUAGGGGAGCGUUCUGUAAGCCUGUGAAGGUGUGUCGUGAGGCAUGCUGGAGGUAUCAGAAGUGCGAAUGCUGACAUAAGUAACGAUAAAGCGGGUGAAAAGCCCGCUCGCCGGAAGACCAAGGGUUCCUGUCCAACGUUAAUCGGGGCAGGGUGAGUCGACCCCUAAGGCGAGGCCGAAAGGCGUAGUCGAUGGGAAACGGGUUAAUAUUCCCGUACUUGGUGUUACUGCGAAGGGGGGACGGAGAAGGCUAUGUUGGCCGGGCGACGGUUGUCCCGGUUUAAGCGUGUAGGUGUGUGUUCCAGGUAAAUCCGGUUCACUUUAACACUGAGGCGUGACGACGAGGCACUACGGUGCUGAAGCAACAAAUGCCCUGCUUCCAGGAAAAGCCUCUAAGCAUCAGGUAACAC
RNAcentral lists this ribosomal RNA (1124 nucleotides) under Salmonella enterica subsp. enterica serovar Typhimurium. RNAcentral's name for it is "partial 23S ribosomal RNA". It matches the Rfam family "Bacterial large subunit ribosomal RNA", at positions 597 to 1637 of the family's 2925-position model. The record is from RNAcentral. Lineage: Bacteria; Pseudomonadati; Pseudomonadota; Gammaproteobacteria; Enterobacterales; Enterobacteriaceae.